Molecule: ribosomal RNA, 349 nt
Filed under: Nesobornia sp. UM302938
Lineage: Eukaryota; Metazoa; Mollusca; Bivalvia; Galeommatida; Lasaeidae
Description: partial 16S ribosomal RNA
Rfam family: Bacterial large subunit ribosomal RNA
Source: RNAcentral
CCCGGUGAAGUUUUAAACGGCCGCAGUUAGGAGCUGUGCUAAGGUAGCGUAGUAAGUUGUCCUUUAAAUGGGGAAAGGUAUGAAUGGUUUGACGUGAGGGAGUCUGUCUCAGGUAGAUUUAAAGAAAUUUUCUUUUUGGUGAAAAGCCCAAAAUGCAAUUAAAAGACGAGAAGACCCUUUCGAGCUUGAUUAAAUUAAAAAAUUGUUUUUAACUAAAGUUUAGUUGGGGCAACUUAGGAGCAAAAGUAGACUCCUUGACGAUCAUGAGGAUCCAAAAUUUUUGAAUUGAGAAAAAGCUACCGUAGGGAUAACAGCGUUAUCUUUUCUAAGAGAACAAAUUGAAGAAAGG